GUACACACCGAUCCAACUACUUUAGGGGGAUUACCUGUUAAGUAUCUUUAUACUUAACAGGUAAUCCCCCUAAAGUAGUUGGAUCGGUUACUUU
Molecule: non-coding RNA, 94 nt
Organism: Paramuricea clavata
Lineage: Eukaryota; Metazoa; Cnidaria; Anthozoa; Malacalcyonacea; Plexauridae
Source: the annotation of a GenBank genome assembly